Molecule: ribosomal RNA, 237 nt
Filed under: Ferrimonas sp. HR07-02
Lineage: Bacteria; Pseudomonadati; Pseudomonadota; Gammaproteobacteria; Alteromonadales; Ferrimonadaceae
Description: partial 16S ribosomal RNA
Rfam family: Bacterial small subunit ribosomal RNA
Source: RNAcentral
GAGNAAUGCUUANGAAUUUGCCCAGUCGAGGGGGAUAACUAUUGGAAACGAUAGCUAAUACCGCAUACGCCCUACGGGGGAAAAGAGGGGACCUUCGGGCCUUCUGCGAUUGGAUAAGCCUAAGUGAGAUUAGCUAGUUGGUGAGGUAAUGGCUCACCAAGGCGACGAUCUCUAGCUGGUCUGAGAGGAUGAUCAGCCACACUGGAACUGAGACACGGUCCAGACUCCUACGGGAGG